AGAGUUUGAUUCUGGCUCAGAACGAACGCUGGCGGCGCGUUUAAGCAUGCAAGUCGAGCGGCAAGGGCCUUCGGGCCCCUAGAGCGGCGGACGGGUGAGUAACACGUGGACAAUCCUGCCCCCCGGCCCGGGAUAGCCCAGGGAAACCUGGAUUAAUACCGGAUGAGACGGGACCCGCGAUGGCGGGAUCCGGGAAAGGCGCUGCGGCGCCGCCGGGGGAUGAGUCUGCGUCCCAUUAGCUAGACGGCGGGGUAACGGCCCACCGUGGCGACGAUGGGUAGCCGGCCUGAGAGGGUGACGGCCACAUUGGAACUGAGACACGGUCCAGACUCCUACGGGAGGCAGCAGCUAAGAAUCUUCCGCAAUGGGCGAAAGCCUGACGGAGCCGACGCCGCGUGAACGAAGAGGGCCGUGAGGUUGUAAAGUUCUUUUCGGGAGGGGAACAACCGUGGCAGGGAAUGGCCGCGGGAUGACGUGAAUCCCGGAAUAAGCCCCGGCUAACUACGUGCCAGCAGCCGC
This 519-nucleotide ribosomal RNA is filed under the name uncultured bacterium. Its description in RNAcentral is "bacterial SSU rRNA". It matches the Rfam family "Bacterial small subunit ribosomal RNA", at positions 8 to 518 of the family's 1533-position model. The record is from RNAcentral.